Sporobacter termitidis DSM 10068 is the source of this 90-nucleotide regulatory RNA element. It matches the Rfam family "pan motif". The record is from Rfam. Lineage: Bacteria; Bacillati; Bacillota; Clostridia; Eubacteriales; Oscillospiraceae.
GCGGCGGUAUCUUUAUGAGCUGCACGCGGCAAGAGGCUUAUUCCGGCAUGUAAAAAACCUGCUUUGAUCCUUAGUGACAGAGACAGUUAU